CUUACUGCAAGUGCUCUGUACAAUUUCAUUAAUGAUUUUGUAUUUUGAAACAGGCAUUUGUACAGGUUUUUUAAUGACUCCAGUUGGCAUUCGUGGCAGUUUUAAUCUGUGUGUCAUUCAUUAAAAAAACUACACUACGUUCAUUGCUUCUACAAUUUUGUUGCAUUCUCAUGUGGCAGGGUGAAAGAUUUAAGGAAGCAGACCAUUUUGUUUGCGAAAAGUUUCCUAAGAAGACUGCAUAAAUACAGGGUAUCCUUUGCACAACACAGUCUUAGAAAUUUCACAUGCUUAUUGCUCAAGAUCCACUUAACUGUGUGCUGGCCACUUCAUCCUCAGUGAUGGCAAAAAUGAAUGGCCUCAUGAGAGUGCUUUCUCGGGCAUGUUAUUCUUCUUUGGCAUCCCAAAAAUCACAUAAUCAAUGGGGCAUAGUAGGGGUGGAUAAGGAUUCAUGGAAUAACUCGCUUAUGAAAGGGGAGACUAGAGCGACAAGUAUGCAAUGGAUUUUUCUUGGUUGUCCUGGAGUUGGUAAAGGAACAUAUGCCAGCAGGCUUUCUCGUCUUCCUAGCCUUAAGAUGAACAUUAGCAAGUUGCAAAAUGUGUCCUCUUAAAUGUCAAUGGGUUCCUCAAAUUUACCGUUCUAUAUCAAAUAUCUUGAUUUCAAGCUAGAAGGAUAUACAAUUUUGAUUGGAUACUAAACAAUCUUCAAGUUAUUCAAACAACAUCGACAUUGAUUUUUGUGAUAACCAAAGUGCUCUCAAGAUGGUGAAUAACCCAAU
Molecule: long non-coding RNA, 776 nt
Organism: Cryptomeria japonica (Japanese cedar)
Lineage: Eukaryota; Viridiplantae; Streptophyta; Pinopsida; Cupressales; Cupressaceae
Exons: 3
Source: RefSeq, a predicted model, not a curated record